This is a long non-coding RNA of Cyprinodon tularosa, 824 nucleotides long. RefSeq lists it as uncharacterized. The transcript has 3 exons. The record is from RefSeq and is a predicted model, not a curated record. Lineage: Eukaryota; Metazoa; Chordata; Actinopteri; Cyprinodontiformes; Cyprinodontidae.
UGUCUCGAAUGAUUCCUCCCUCCUCUGCACAGGUAAGAAAUAAUAUCCACACACAACGGAAUGUUAUCGACCUCCCUCCGUCACUGAAAAGUAAAAAAAUAGUCUUUCCUCGUUUCUUGUUUUUUUUCUUUUUCUUUUUGUUCGCCCACCCUUCAGGGUCCUUUAAAGCCCGCGAUUCAGAGGCGGAGAGCGUCGCUCCGUCCGUCCGUUCGGACGCUGGAAACCCCUCGGUUAGGACGUGUCCUCGACCGCAGACAACUUCAAAAACCAGGCAGUUAGAUCCUGCAGCGGUGCGCCAGUUCUCCAGUAACUCCGGGCAGAAUGGACUGUCGGCUGGAGCAGUUAUUUUUGUGUUAAAAUAUCGAGCGUUGUGAAAUUCACCGCCAGCCUGCCGUUGGGUACCCAGUUCCUCCGCCGCGCGCUGUACCACACACAGACUGUGCACUGACACGAGGACCUCACUGCUGAGAGAGGGCCGACGACCAACCAAUCAGAGUCUUCGGCGGAGCGUAGAACGGGUGACCAAUCACCGAGCGCUAACCCCCACGUGGGGUUUCAGCAAAACAGUGGUUUUGAUUGGACAAACAAUGUGACCUCACACGGACGCCAUUUUGGAUGCGAAGUGACAUUCUGAACGUCCAAACAACUUGUUCAAAACAAAGCCAAUGACAGCUGAAUAAAGGAGCCCCGCCUUCAACAAAAGGAAGGAUUGAAGAAGAACACCCAAACUUGAUUAUGUUCUUUUGUUUUAACCCUCCAGGUGUUCCCAUAAUGAGCACCACAUCUGUUUUGCAAUUAAAAGGACAACAGGAUCAAUAUAAGUG